RNAcentral lists this non-coding RNA (23 nucleotides) under Arabidopsis thaliana (thale cress). Lineage: Eukaryota; Viridiplantae; Streptophyta; Magnoliopsida; Brassicales; Brassicaceae. The record is from RNAcentral.
AGGCAAGUGUGAAGGAGAUUUCA